Molecule: ribosomal RNA, 496 nt
Filed under: uncultured bacterium
Lineage: Bacteria
Description: partial 16S ribosomal RNA
Rfam family: Bacterial small subunit ribosomal RNA
Source: RNAcentral
GACGAACGCUGGCGGCGUGCCUAAUACAUGCAAGUUGAGCGCUGAAGGUUGGUACUUGUACCAACUGGAUGAGCAGCGAACGGGUGAGUAACGCGUGGGGAAUCUGCCUUUGAGCGGGGGACAACAUUUGGAAACGAAUGCUAAUACCGCAUAAAAACUUUAAACACAAGUUUUAAGUUUGAAAGAUGCAAUUGCAUCACUCAAAGAUGAUCCCGCGUUGUAUUAGCUAGUUGGUGAGGUAAGGCUCACCAAGGCGAUGAUACAUAGCCGACCUGAGAGGGUGAUCGGCCACAUUGGGACUGAGACACGGCCCAAACUCCUACGGGAGGCAGCAGUAGGGAAUCUUCGGCAAUGGACGAAAGUCUGACCGAGCAACGCCGCGUGAGUGAAGAAGGUUUUCGGAUCGUAAAACUCUGUUGGUAGAGAAGAACGUUGGUGAGAGUGGAAAGCUCAUCAAGUGACGGUAACUACCCAGAAAGGGACGGCUAACUACGUG